GACGAACCGUCCAAACGUUAUUCGGAAUCACUGGGCUUACAGAGUUCGUAGGCGGUCUGGAAAGUUGGGUGUGAAAUCCCUCGGCUCAACCGAGGAACUGCGCUUGAAACUACCAGACUCGAGGGAGAUAGAGGAAAGCGGAACUGAUGGUGGAGCGGUGAAAUGCGUUGAUAUCAUCAGGAACACCGGUGGCGAAGGCGGGAUCCUGGGCCAGUACUGACGCUGAGGAGCGAAAGCGUGGGGAGCAAACAGG
RNAcentral lists this ribosomal RNA (253 nucleotides) under uncultured bacterium. Its description in RNAcentral is "partial 16S ribosomal RNA". It matches the Rfam family "Bacterial small subunit ribosomal RNA", at positions 524 to 776 of the family's 1533-position model. The record is from RNAcentral.